CAGGGAGACAACAAAAUGUUAAAUAUUAAUUUUGUCACCUUAGGUCGAUCGGUACCUCACAUCCUUAGUUAAUUAAGGAUUUUAUUUCCUAAGUUUUUUCUAGGUCACACCCAUUACUUUUUCCUGGGCCAUUAGCUCAGGUGGUUAGAGCGCACCCCUGAUAAGGGUGAGGUCCCUGGUUCAAGUCCAGGAUGGCCCAUAUCUCUAUGUUGGGGGUAUAGCUCAGUUGGUAGAGCGCCUGCUUUGCAAGCAGGAUGUCAGCGGUUCGAGUCCGCUUACCUCCACUGAUCACCACCUCUUCAUAAUUUAUAGAAGGGAAUUGUUUUGAGUUGUGAUCAAAUUCUGAACGAAUCUAGCUUCCUAAUAAAACUUAUUAAGAUGCUGGACUCAUUGAAUUAAUUUCAUUGUUUUCAGAGAACCUUGACAACUGCAUAGAUUAUUUUUAAAGACAAUAAGCAUCUUUAAUGAUGCAGAUUUAUUAUUUGUGCGAAUGCAUUAAAUAACAAUUCUAUUAAGCUGAUGCUUCAA
This 528-nucleotide transfer RNA is filed under the name uncultured Prochlorococcus sp. Its description in RNAcentral is "partial 16S-23S ribosomal RNA intergenic spacer". The stretch from base 212 to 284 matches the Rfam family "tRNA". The record is from RNAcentral. Lineage: Bacteria; Bacillati; Cyanobacteriota; Cyanophyceae; Synechococcales; Prochlorococcaceae.